UACGGGGGGGGCAAGCGUUGUUCGGAAUUACUGGGCGUAAAGGGCUCGUAGGCGGCCAACUAAGUCAGACGUGAAAUCCCUCGGCUUAACCGGGGAACUGCAUCUGAUACUGGAUGGCUUGAGGUUGGGAGAGGGAUGCGGAAUUCCAGGUGUAGCGGUGAAAUGCGUAGAUAUCUGGAGGAACACCGGUGGCGAAGGCGGCAUCCUGGACCAACACUGACGCUGAGUGAGCGAAAGCCAGGGGAGCAAACGGG
RNAcentral lists this ribosomal RNA (254 nucleotides) under uncultured bacterium. RNAcentral's name for it is "partial 16S ribosomal RNA". It matches the Rfam family "Bacterial small subunit ribosomal RNA", at positions 524 to 776 of the family's 1533-position model. The record is from RNAcentral.